AUGCCAAACACCUGCAAAUCUUGUUAAAAUGCAGAUUCUGAUUCAGCGAGUCUCUAUGGGACCCGUGAUUCUGCAUUUCCAACAGCUUCCCAGGUGGUGCAUAU
This 104-nucleotide microRNA precursor is filed under the name Marmota monax (woodchuck). Lineage: Eukaryota; Metazoa; Chordata; Mammalia; Rodentia; Sciuridae. The record is from RNAcentral.